Molecule: long non-coding RNA, 238 nt
Organism: Austrofundulus limnaeus
Lineage: Eukaryota; Metazoa; Chordata; Actinopteri; Cyprinodontiformes; Rivulidae
Exons: 2
Source: RefSeq, a predicted model, not a curated record
UCAGGUCUGGACCGGGACCAGGACCAGGCUGCAGGGUCCAGUUCCCCCUGUUAGCCAAAACAAAAGUCUUCAGUUGAAGGUAUGACAUCACCGGAAGCCUCAAAACACCGUCCUCUGAGCUGCAGAGACUAUAAAUGCAACUAAUCUGCGUCAUCUGUGACCCCGACUUGGUGUAAUAGUCAUCUCGUACGUCUUUUCUGCCUGUAAAAAAAAAUAAAUGACUCAGUCAGUUGGUGGA